RNAcentral lists this unclassified non-coding RNA (229 nucleotides) under plant metagenome. RNAcentral describes it as "partial contains small subunit ribosomal RNA, internal transcribed spacer 1, and 5.8S ribosomal RNA". The record is from RNAcentral.
UCUCCGUAGGUGAACCUGCGGAGGGAUCAUUACAGAGUUCAUGCCCUACCGGCUAGAUCUCCCACCCUAUGUUAUUAUUACUUUGUUGCUUUGGCGGGCCGUUAGGCUCCGGCCCGACUACCGGCCCCGGCUGGUAAGCGCCCGCCAGAGGACCCAAAACCCUGAAUAUUAGUGUCGUCUGAGUACUAUAUAAUAGUUAAAACUUUCAACAACGGAUCUCUUGGUUCUG